This 469-nucleotide long non-coding RNA is filed under the name Equus caballus (horse). Its description in RNAcentral is "lncRNA (ENSECAG00000044197.1)". Lineage: Eukaryota; Metazoa; Chordata; Mammalia; Perissodactyla; Equidae. The record is from RNAcentral.
CCUUAGAGGCACAACCAAGGUUGGAACACAUUGACGAGCACAGGGUCAUCAUAAAAUCUAGCAACAGAGGCUAAUACACAUAAUAAAUGGCGUAUUGGUAUUACAUACAACAGAUGCAUUCACAUUGCUAUCCCUCAUUAUCAACGCGAAGUCUAAAGUGCUGGUAUAACAUUUUCAAAAAGCCUCUCUGUAUUGCUAUAUUUACACCUAAUCCAUUGCUCCUCGUUGCUACAUAAUGCCCUAAGGUGCGUGUCCGCCCCAAUUUGCCUCUCUCCUCUUCCACUGAUGAACACGCUGGUUGUCUCCAGUGCUCGCCCACCACUACAAUAGCCCUGCAGGGAAGAGCACUGGGCCUGUCUCUGUGGGACCGAGUAAAGAAUUCACUCGAGACAUACACCUAAGAGUGGAAGUGCGCCCAGAUUCUUGUGGCUCCUUGCCCUCACCAAGACUUCCAUUGUCCAGCUCUGGG